Molecule: long non-coding RNA, 2010 nt
Organism: Malania oleifera
Lineage: Eukaryota; Viridiplantae; Streptophyta; Magnoliopsida; Santalales; Ximeniaceae
Exons: 5
Source: RefSeq, a predicted model, not a curated record
UUUCUAUCCGACAGUCCUUCUGCCCGCCGCUUCAAGGGAGCUGGUGAUUGAGAGGAUAGGAAAGAAACUAAAGGGGUGGAAGAAGGCAUCUCGCUCUAUGGGACUUAGGAUCAAUCUCACUUGUGCUUGCCUCUCUAAUAUUCCAUUUAGUAUCUUUUCUUUAAAAUCCCCACCAAAGUAGCCAGGCCCUUGGCGAAGCUUACAAGAAAUUUUGUGUGUUCUGGUUAUGGGAAGAUAUGAGGAAUCAUCUUGUUCGUUGGGAGGCGGUCAGGAGACCAAAAUUAGAGGGAGUUGUGGGGCUUGGUAAUGUGAUUUUUAGGAUUUCUAUGAACAUCUCCUUUAAGAGGUAAAUGGUUAUGGAGAUCCCCUUAGAGUCUAAUUCCUUAUGGCACAAGGUAGUGCGGAGCAAAUAUGGCAUUCAUAGGAGAACAACACUGUUUCUUGUGCGAGCCCCUGCAAAUUCGUUUCACAGAAGUUCUUUUCCCCCUCAUUCGUCUUUCUAUAAGAAUUGGGGAUAGGGUUCCUUUUUUGGGAGGAUACUUGGGUGGGUAUUGUGUUAUGGGAUGUGAUUUCUAUUUUUCAGGAGUCUCAAUGUGAGAGAGAUAGAUGAGCUCAUUUGCCAGUUGAGUGUUCUGAAUUCUUUCAAUCCUAACAGGAGGGGGGAUGCUAGGCUUUGGACUGGGGACUGUUCGGGGUCCUUUUCUUCAAUGACAAAAUCUCUUAGCCCUAGUCCUUUUUAUCUGGAUAGAGUCGUGUGGAAGGCUGAAGUCCGUCUUAAGAUUCAAGCUUUCAUUUGGACUUUGGUUCUCAAUGGGGUUAAUAUGAAUGCGGACUAGGAGGGCUCACAAAGCUCUCGGGCCAGAUGUUUGCAUGAUGUAUGUGAGAAGAAUGAGACUAAUCGUCAUUUAUUUUGCAUUCUGGUGUGGCGGCGAAAUUUUUGUGGAACAAUCUGUUUUCCUGCUUUGGUGAGGUUUGGGUGGCACCACAGGCUGUCCAUGAUUUCAUAGUGGUUCACUUUUUGGGUUUUGGGAGGAAUCCAAAAAUGUAAAGGUUUUGGGAUGGUGCCUUCUUUGCUAUUUUGCGGACACUUUGGCUUCAAAACGAACGUCAGAAUUUUAAGAGACCAGAAGACUCCCCUGAGCUUGAUCCGUGUGAAAGUUGCAAUUUUGUCUUCCUUCUGUCACUCUUUUGGGGUUUUUGAGGGUCGUUCUCUGUCUGAUAUCCAUAGGGACUGGAAGGCAGCAUUGAUGUAGAUCUAUUGUAUUUUCUCUUUUCCUGUCUUUGGUUUGUUUUGGAGGACGCCUUGUCCUCUUUCUCCAUAAUUGUGUUCUUCUUACUUUUAAUGAAUUUUUUGUUGUCUAAAGGAAAAGAUCUUCUUGCUUUGGACCCUCAAUGUUUCUUAAAUUGGUUUGUUGAUGCAGGAAUUAUUUUAAUUGGUAUGGAUUGUGUCAUCUUCAAUAAAUAUACUUUGAGGUGGGAGUUUGAGUGACAGCAUUACAGUUGGAGAGGGUCUUCUGUCUACUCUGCUGGCUGAAAUGGAUGGUUUGGAACAGGCUAAAGGAGUUCUUGUUUUUGCUGCUACAAAUCGCUGUGAUGCAGUUGAUGCUGCACUUAUGCGUCCUGGAUGCUUUGAUCUGACGAUACACUUGAUGGGCUUCCUACUACCUGAAGAAUAUUGCCAAAAAAGUUUCCUUAACAUGAAGCUAGCUUGGUUUUGUGCAAGAAUAUGGAUCAUACAUUUGUUUUACCAUGAGCCUUUGUAGAUAACUGUGUAUCUUCUUAAGAAUUUUACUGUGGACAAAGUUGCUCAUCUGAGGUUGCAGGUUCGCCUGAGCUUGAAGGGUGGUUGGUGGUACAGCAAUGGCUACAGCCUCAACUCUAGAUAGGCAGCAACAAGCACAAAUGUAAUGUAAGCUGCUCAAGCCAAUGUUUAAUUUAGAUAAACUUGAAUAUGGAUCAACUUCACUACAUGUUAAAAAAUAAUAAUUAUAUUAAGUCUUUUAAACGUUU